GACGAACGCUGGCGGCGUGCUUAACACAUGCAAGUCGAACGGAAAGGCCCUGCUUUUGUGGGGUGCUCGAGUGGCGAACGGGUGAGUAACACGUGAGUAACCUGCCCUUGACUUUGGGAUAACUUCAGGAAACUGGGGCUAAUACCGGAUAGGAGCUCCUGCUGCAUGGUGGGGGUUGGAAAGUUUCGGCGGUUGGGGAUGGACUCGCGGCUUAUCAGCUUGCUGGUGGGGUAGUGGCUUACCAAGGCUUUGACGGGAAGCCGGCCUGAGAGGGUGACCGGCCACAUUGGGACUGAGAUACGGCCCAGACUCCUACGGGAGGCAGCAGUGGGGAAUAUUGCACAAUGGGCGGAAGCCUGAUGCAGCAACGCCGCGUGCGGGAUGACGGCCUUCGGGUUGUAAACCGCUUUCGCCUGUGACGAAGCGUGAGUGACGGUAAUGGGUAAAGAAGCACCGGCUAACUACGUG
This 468-nucleotide ribosomal RNA is filed under the name uncultured bacterium. RNAcentral's name for it is "partial 16S ribosomal RNA". It matches the Rfam family "Bacterial small subunit ribosomal RNA", at positions 28 to 507 of the family's 1533-position model. The record is from RNAcentral.